GUAUAUACGUGUGUGUGUCUGUGUGUGCGUGCAUGUUAUGUGUGUGUAUGUGUAGGGGCAAGGAGGAUUCUCUGGGACUGGAGUUGACCCUGCCUUCCCCUCCCCUUGGGCUAAAGCUUCAAGAGCUGAGGAGGCAGAACUGCAGAGAGAGGGCUGCUGAGGGCUGAAGGGAAUCACGCCUAUAAGCGGGCCCUGCCAGGACCUAACAUUUUCCCUUCUCCAGCCACAGUAAAAAUAAAUGCUCCUGCCAUUAAUAGGACUAGACCUUGCCUGCCAAUGAACACAUCUGCAGAGGAGCCACCUGGAGGGACAAAUACACAAGGACUUGUCAGCUAUCCACCUGCCAGACUACUUCUCUUAAAGGCCCUGUGGGAAGCCCUCACAUACCACCCAGAAGAGAACCUGCUGAGUUCUGUGUGGCAGAAAGCAGGCAGUAGAAGUUGUGAAAUUGCUGGAAAAUGGCUGAGGAUCUUUGACCUGUCUCUUCAAAGGACCAGUUCCCAAGUCUCUCCUUUCAACACUCCCUGCUCGCUGCUAUUUAAGCUACCACCUGGAAGCAUAUUCAGCAUGUGGGACCAGCCCUAAAACUUGCUGGAGUUCUUGUUUCUUCCUUGGUCUGUGUGAGUAGCAAAGACAUGUAAGAUCCUACAUGUGCAGGUUCUGGGGGCUGCUGCACAGCUCUACAUGGAAGCUC
This is a long non-coding RNA of Bos taurus (domestic cattle), 694 nucleotides long. NCBI's taxonomy places the organism in Eukaryota, Metazoa, Chordata, Mammalia, Artiodactyla, Bovidae. The record is from Ensembl.